GAUGAACGCUGGCGGCGUGCCUAAUACAUGCAAGUCGAGCGAACAGACGAGGAGCUUGCUCCUCUGACGUUAGCGGCGGACGGGUGAGUAACGCGUGGAUAACCUACCUAUAAGACUGGGAUAACUUCGGGAAACCGGAGCUAAUACCGGAUAAUAUAUUGCACCGCAUGGUUCAAUAGUGAAAGACGGUUUUGCUGUCACUUAUAGAUGGAUCUGCGCCGCAUUAGCUAGUUGGUGAGGUAACGGCUUAUCAAGGCAACGAUGCGUAGCCGACCUGAGAGGGUGAUCGGCCACACGGGAGCUUAAACGCGGUCCAGACUCCUACGGGAGGCAGCAGUAGGGAAUCUUCCGCAAUGGGCGAAAGCCUGACGGAGCAACGCCGCGUGAGUGAUGAAGGUCUUCGGAGCGUAAAACUCUGUUAUUAGGGAAGAACAAAUGUGUAAGUAACUAUGCACGUCUUGACGGUACCUAAUAAGAAAGCCACGGCUAACUACGUG
Molecule: ribosomal RNA, 497 nt
Filed under: uncultured bacterium
Lineage: Bacteria
Description: partial 16S ribosomal RNA
Rfam family: Bacterial small subunit ribosomal RNA
Source: RNAcentral